RNAcentral lists this ribosomal RNA (497 nucleotides) under uncultured bacterium. Its description in RNAcentral is "partial 16S ribosomal RNA". It matches the Rfam family "Bacterial small subunit ribosomal RNA", at positions 28 to 507 of the family's 1533-position model. The record is from RNAcentral.
GAUGAACGCUGGCGGCGUGCCUAAUACAUGCAAGUCGAGCGAACAGACGAGGAGCUUGCUCCUCUGACGUUAGCGGCGGACGGGUGAGUAACACGUGGAUAACCUACCUAUAAGACUGGGAUAACUUCGGGAAACCGGAGCUAAUACCGGAUAAUAUAUUGAACCGCAUGGUUCAAUAGUGAAAGACGGUUUUGCUGCCACUUAUAGAUGGAUCCGCGCCGCAUUAGCUAGUUGGUAAGGUAACGGCUUACCAAGGCAACGAUGCGUAGCCGACCUGAGAGGGUGAUCGGCCACACUGGAACUGAGACACGGUCCAGACUCCUACGGGAGGCAGCAGUAGGGAAUCUUCCGCAAUGGGCGAAAGCCUGACGGAGCAACGCCGCGUGAGUGAUGAAGGUCCUCGGAUCGUAAAACUCUGUUAUUAGGGAAGAACAAAUGUGUAAGUAACUAUGCACGUCUUGACGGUACCUAAUCAGAAAGCCACGGCUAACUACGUG